GACGAACGCUGGCGGCGUGCUUAACACAUGCAAGUCGAACGGAAAGGCCCUGCUUUUGUGGGUUGCUCGAGUGGCGAACGGGUGAGUAACACGUGAGUAACCUGCCCUUGACUUUGGGAUAACUUCAGGAAACUGGGGCUAAUACCGGAUAGGAGCUCCUGCUGCAUGGUGGUGGUUGGAAAGUUUCGGCGGUUGGGGAUGGACUCGCGGCUUAUCAGCUUGUUGGUGGGGUAGUGGCUUACCAAGGCUUUGACGGGUAGCCGGCCUGAGAGGGUGACCGGCCACAAUGGGACUGAGAUACGGACCAGAAUCCUACGGGAGGCAGCAGUGGGGAAUAUUGCACAAUGGGCGGAAGCCUGAUGCAGCAACGCUGCGUGCGGGAUGACGGCCUUCGGGUUGUAAACCGCUUUCGCCUGUGACGAAGAGUGAGUGACGGUAAUGGGUAAAGAAGCACCGGCUAACUAUGUG
RNAcentral lists this ribosomal RNA (468 nucleotides) under uncultured bacterium. RNAcentral's name for it is "partial 16S ribosomal RNA". It matches the Rfam family "Bacterial small subunit ribosomal RNA", at positions 28 to 507 of the family's 1533-position model. The record is from RNAcentral.